This 440-nucleotide ribosomal RNA is filed under the name uncultured bacterium. RNAcentral's name for it is "partial 16S ribosomal RNA". It matches the Rfam family "Bacterial small subunit ribosomal RNA", at positions 338 to 795 of the family's 1533-position model. The record is from RNAcentral.
CCUACGGGUGGCAGCAGUGGGGAAUAUUGCACAAUGGGGGAAACCCUGAUGCAGCGACGCCGCGUGAGUGAAGAAGUAUCUCGGUACGUAAAGCUCUAUCAGUAGGGAAGUAAAUGACGGUACCUGACUAAGAAGCUCCGGCUAACUACGUUCCAGCAGCCGCGGUAAGACGCAGGGGGCAAGCGUUAUCCGGAUUUACCGGGUGUAAAGGGAGCGUAGACGGCAGCACAAGUCAGGAGUGAAAUUCCGGGGCUUAACCCCGGAACUGCAUUGGAAACUGUGCGGCUGGAGUGCAGGAGAGGUAAGCGGAAUGCCUGGUGUAGCGGUGAAAUGCGUAGAUAUUAGGAAGAACACCGAUGGCGAAGGCAGCUUACUGGACUGUAACUGACGUUGAGGCUCGAAAGCGUGGGGAGCAAACAGGAUUAGAUACCCUAGUAGUC